RNAcentral lists this unclassified non-coding RNA (250 nucleotides) under Hevea brasiliensis (rubber tree). Lineage: Eukaryota; Viridiplantae; Streptophyta; Magnoliopsida; Malpighiales; Euphorbiaceae. The record is from RNAcentral.
GUGGGACACUAACCAAAGAUCAUUUGGUUUCUCAGGCUCUGUAGUCCGCCUUUAUCGUUUCCUUGGGGAUUCAAUAGCAGAGAUGACGGAUGGAAAUCUGCCCAAUAUAAAGAAAUGGGUUGUGUUGUAUCCUGUUUACAUAAACUCAAAGAAGACCAUAGCUGAGGGCAGGCGAAUCAGCGCGACUAAAGCUUGCGAAAAUCCAACUUGUGCUGAGAUUAGUGAUUGCUGCAGCCAUCUCAAACUCCCU